CCAAGGCGUUUGAGAGAACCGUGGUUAAGGAACUAGGCAAAUUGACACCGUAACUUCGGGAUAAGGUGUGCCUCCGAUGUGGAGCAGAACAUGCCGAGCCAGAAGAGGUCGCAGAGAAUAGGGGGUAGCGACUGUUCACCAAAAACACAGGACUGUGCGAAGUCACGAAGGCGACGUAUACGGUCUGACGCCUGCCCGGUGCUGGAAGGUUAAGAGGAGAGGUUAGACGCAAGUCGAAGCUUUGAAUCGAAGCCCCAGUAAACGGCGGCCGUAACUAUAACGGUCCUAAGGUAGCGAAAUUCCUUGUCGGGUAAGUUCCGACCUGCACGAAUGGCGUAACGACUUCCCCGCUGUCUCAACCAUGGACUCAGUGAAAUUGAAUUCUCGGUGAAGAUGCCGAGUACCCGCGGCAAGGCGGAAAGACCCCGUGAACCUUUACUAUAACUUGACAGUGGUAUUCGCGUGGAUCUGUGUAGGAUAGGUGGGAGACUUCGAAGCGGGUGCGCCAGCAUCCGUGGAGUCAUCGUUGAAAUACCACCCUGGUCCUCCUGGAUGCCUAACGUGGGCGGCUGAAGCGCCGUCACGGACACUGUCUGGUGGGUAGUUUGACUGGGGCGGUCGCCUCCCAAAAAGUAACGGAGGCGCACAAAGGUUCCCUCAGCCUGAUUGGAAACCAGGCGAAGAGUGCAAAGGCAGAAGGGAGCUUGACUGCGAGACCUACAAGUCGAGCAGGUGCGAAAGCAGGUCUUAGUGAUCCGGUGGUUCUGCGUGGAAGGGCCAUCGCUUAACGGAUAAAAGGUACUCCGGGGAUAACAGGCUUAUCUCCCCCAAGAGUUCACAUCGACGGGGAGGUUUGGCACCUCGAUGUCGGCUCAUCGCAUCCUGGGGCUGGAGCAGGUCCCAAGGGUUUGGCUGUUCGCCAAUUAAAGCGGUACGCGAGCUGGGUACAGAACGUCGUGAGACAGUUCGGUCCCUAUCUGCCGUGGGCGCAGGAGUUUUGAGAGGAGCUGUCCCUAGUACGAGAGGACCGGGAUGGACUGACCUCUGGUGCACCAGUUGUCACGCCAGUGGCAUAGCUGGGUAGCUAAGUCGGGACGGGAUAACCGCUGAAAGCAUCUAAGCGGGAAGCCCACCUCAAGAUAAGAACUCCCAGGGGUAACCCUCUGAAGGCCCGUCGUAGACUACGACGUUGAUAGGCUGGGUGUGUAAGCGUCGGAAAAGGCGUUGAGCUAACCAGUACUAAUAGGCCGUGUGGCUUGACUU
RNAcentral lists this ribosomal RNA (1263 nucleotides) under metagenome. RNAcentral describes it as "bacterial LSU rRNA". It matches the Rfam family "Bacterial large subunit ribosomal RNA", at positions 1681 to 2925 of the family's 2925-position model. The record is from RNAcentral.